Ziziphus jujuba (common jujube) is the source of this 2085-nucleotide long non-coding RNA. RefSeq lists it as uncharacterized. The record is from RefSeq and is a predicted model, not a curated record. Lineage: Eukaryota; Viridiplantae; Streptophyta; Magnoliopsida; Rosales; Rhamnaceae. The transcript is spliced from 3 exons.
AUAUAUAUAUAUGUAAGUAGAGAGUGCCUUGUUUUCAUAAAUACUCAUCAAUUAAAUUUGUAGAUCUAGCUUCUAUCAUUCAAUUGGUGUGCAAAUGGAAAUCUUUCAGCUGAUCGGCUCGAUUAUGAAGGGAGACAAUAUUCAACCACCGAAUCAGGUCCCGCGGGUUGAUUUUGGUUCACCGAAAAGUCGCAAUAUCAGGAGACUUGACCAACCGGCAGGGAAUAAGGGAAACAACAAACAAGGCUAUCCCAAACCAGAAAAGUUCCCCUCCUCCAAAUAAACAAUAUUUAUAUAUUAAGGAUAAAUUUUAUUUUGACCCUUUCAAUUUUAUCAUAUAAAGAAAAAUUGACAAAUGAGUUUUUAAUAUUAUUUUUCAUUAACAUUAAUUAAAUUUAUAACUAAGUCAAAACUGAAAGGGUUUAAAUGAAAUUUUUCUUACAUAUUAAUUAAUACAAAUUUACUAUCAUAAAAGAUAAGUGCCUAUUUUAGCAAAAUUUUAUAUAUAUAUAUAUAUAUAUGCAUAUAACUUUGUUAUAAUGGGUAGCCACUCCUACUAUGAUGUGGGUGUCACCAGACUCUCAAGGGCAAGAGAUUGAACUGUGUAUGCUCUAGAAGUUUUCUACUGGCUAAGCUUAUGCUAUUGAUUCUCGUAUGAAAUACUGUCUAAUUAUCUUUAGUAGAUAAAAAUUAUAUAUAUAUAUAUAUAUAUAUAUGUACAAAUGGACUUGGAACCUUGCGAUUGUAUAUAUAAAUGGAAUUUAUAAGCAUAUAAUAAAGCUAUCGAACUCCGGACAUCUGCCAGAGAUAUUUAGUUAAGGAUGAAAUAUUAUAUAUAUCUAAUUAUGUGCAUAUAAUUUUAUGCAUAAGGCAAUAUUUGUGAGUAUAUAAAUGUGGUUUGAGCCCCUCUCCUUGUCCGGUUUAAUUUUUAGAAUAAAAAUAAUUAUCCAAAAAAAAAAAAAAAGAAUCUUAGAAGGAUAAACAAAAAAUAAUUAAAAAAGAGCAGUGAAAUAGAAUAACUGCUUUUUUAGAUGAUAUGGAAUUCAGUUAUUAAUUUGAUAGGAACAAAGAUAGAAAAAUGGAGAUCUUCUUCCUCCAUGCAAUAUGUAUACUUCAAAUUAAUUAUUUUUUAUUUAUUUUUUAAUUGGAAGGUGAUAUAUAGUAUUCAUAAAAGUGAAAAUUUGUGUUUUAUAUAUCUUUGAAUUAAUUUAUAAUUUAGAAAUGUCAGAAUACUAUUUUUUAUUUUUAUCAUUUUCAAUAAUUUCUCAUUCUAAUAUCUUGAAUUCAAAAUAUGCAAAAGUAGUAUAAAUUGAAUCAAUAUUACUUAAUAAAUAUCAAAAUAUUUUCAGAUUUUUAAAAAAAAAUUAAUGAAAUUUCAUUAAUUUAUAAAUAAUUGGUGUCAUUUAAAGCUAGCUAAUUGAAAAUUUUAAUUAGGAAACCGAAGCGAAGUAUAUUGAAAGUUUCAUCAAAAUUGUAAAUAAUUGCCAUAUUCAACUGGUUCGACUUUUCCUUUUUUUGGGGUCCACAAGACCGGUUGGACUGGACCUCAGCAGUCAGCACCACGUUUAGAAAACAAACCGAACUCUAAACGUUUUAAAGUGGAUAUCCGAACCCGCACCGAGUCUGUGCAUAAAGGUGCUGACUUCAACCCAUUGGUAAUUUUAUUAACCAAUGGGUUUAAGGCUGCUGGAUCUAGCUACGGGGGCACAUCUAGUUCAAGGAAAGAGAAGGAAUAAUGUAUAUAAAUGGCCAUCCAUUAACGGGACUUCUUUCCAGUCCAAGCUUGCUUGUGUCAGCAUCUCCACCUCUUCUCAUCAUUGGCAUGCGAGACUUGGUCAUCCCUCAUCUAAAAUCCUCUAGCUUGUUUUGUUCUCAAAAUAAUUUUCCUGUUAACUCUGGUCAAUAUGCUUUUACAUUUUGUGAUUCUUGUCAAUGUAGUAAAAGUCAUAAACUACCUUUUGGCACUUCUUCUAUCACAAGUCCUCGUCCUUUAGAUUUAGUUUACACCGAUGUAUAGGGACCCUCUCCAAUACGCUCAAUGGAUGGUUUUUCUUACUAUGUUUUGUUUGUAGAUCAUUUCACCAA